RNAcentral lists this unclassified non-coding RNA (383 nucleotides) under soil metagenome. Its description in RNAcentral is "partial contains 5.8S ribosomal RNA, internal transcribed spacer 2, and large subunit ribosomal RNA". The stretch from base 1 to 121 matches the Rfam family "5.8S ribosomal RNA", at positions 35 to 154 of the family's 154-position model. The record is from RNAcentral.
GAUGAAGAACGGCAGCGAAAUGCGAUAAGUAAUGUGAAUUGCAGAAUUCAGUGAAUCAUCGAAUCUUUGAACGCACCUUGCACCCUUUGGCAUUCCGAAGGGUAUGCUCGUUUGAGUGUCAUUGUACUCUCACACUUCUGAUCCUUUGGAUUGGGAGCGGUGGACUUGGGUGUUGCUGCUUUACUGUGGCUCACCUCAAAUGCAUUCGUGCAACUCUUGGUUGGACAUAGUACGGCGUGAUAAGUAUCUUCGCCGGCACCUCGCAAGAGGGUGGCUGAUCAGGAGCUCUGUGCUUUCCAACUGUCUUCAGACAACAACUGACAACUUGACCUCAAAUCGAGUAGGACCACCCGCUGAACUUAAGCAUAUCAAUAAGCGGAGGA